UACGGAGGGUGCAAGCGUUAUCCGGAUUCACUGGGUUUAAAGGGUGCGUAGGCGGCUAUAUAAGUCAGUGGUGAAAGCCCGCAGCUCAACUGCGGAAUUGCCAUUGAAACUGCAUAGCUUGAAUCUGGUUGAAGUGGGCGGAAUACAUCAUGUAGCGGUGAAAUGCUUAGAUAUGAUGUAGAACACCGAUUGCGAAGGCAGCUCACUAAGCCAACAUUGACGCUGAGGCACGAAAGCGUGGGUAGCGAACAGGAUUAGAAACCCCUGUAGUCC
Molecule: ribosomal RNA, 273 nt
Filed under: uncultured bacterium
Lineage: Bacteria
Description: partial 16S ribosomal RNA
Rfam family: Bacterial small subunit ribosomal RNA
Source: RNAcentral